Molecule: long non-coding RNA, 659 nt
Organism: Cynocephalus volans (Philippine flying lemur)
Lineage: Eukaryota; Metazoa; Chordata; Mammalia; Dermoptera; Cynocephalidae
Exons: 3
Source: RefSeq, a predicted model, not a curated record
GAACUUUCUCUUGUCCACAUACCUCACCAGCACUGUGUCCUUAGCCAACUGCAUCAACUCACUGGUUUGUUGCCAGCUCUGGUCAAAGUUUACUGGUAAAGAAGAAUGAAAUCCUUGCUUGAAAUGAGGUUUAGGGUUAUCUGAGGCUUUGUUUCUCCAGGCUGUGUCCCCACAAUUAAUAGUAGUUGUAUAUAUAGUUCUCUGUUUAUUCUGAACAGCCUUUGCUGCAGAUCUCCUGGUCCAUAGGCCUCCCUUUGUACUUAAUUCAGCUGCUUUUUGGUAGGUAACUGCUUACAGAGAGAUAGUCCAAGUGCUAUAGCUUCCUUCAUGGUUACAUGAUGGCUGCUGAAGUUCCAGACAUCACAUCCAGACAUAAUGUUCCUAGAGGUUGAAGAGGGGCCAUCUCCUUCUGCAUGUCUACUUUGAAGAUCAACAAAGCUUUUUCCCUGAAGUGCCCCCAGCAGACUUACACUAGGGUCUCGUCAGCCCAGCUGGCUGGUAUGGAGAUCUGAAUCCUUGACCUUGGUGUUUGGUGUUAUCAGCACUGCACUCUAACCAAGUGAGCUAACCAGCAGCCCAAGACAUCUUGCUUUUAAAAUAGCCACUUUGCUAAAUUCUCUAAGUAUUACUAAAAGAUCUUUAGCUGAUUCUUUUGGAAU